AGAGUUUGAUCCUGGCUCAGAACGAACGCUGGCGGCAUGCCUAACACAUGCAAGUCGAACGAGGGCUUCGGCCCUAGUGGCGCACGGGUGAGUAACGCGUGGGAACCUGCCCUGUGGUACGGAAUAACUCCGGGAAACUGGAGCUAAUACCGUAUGUGUCUUGAGGGACAAAGAUUUAUCGCCAUGGGAUGGGCCCGCGUAGGAUUAGCUUGUUGGUGGGGUAACGGCCUACCAAGGCAACGAUCCUUAGCUGGUCUGAGAGGAUGAUCAGCCACACUGGGACUGAGACACGGCCCAGACUCCUACGGGAGGCAGCAGUGGGGAAUAUUGGACAAUGGGCGCAAGCCUGAUCCAGCAAUGCCGCGUGAGUGAUGAAGGCCUUCGGGUUGUAAAGCUCUUUCGCACGCGACGAUGAUGACGGUAGCGUGAGAAGAAGCCCCGGCUAACUUCGUG
This 453-nucleotide ribosomal RNA is filed under the name uncultured Skermanella sp. RNAcentral's name for it is "bacterial SSU rRNA". It matches the Rfam family "Bacterial small subunit ribosomal RNA", at positions 8 to 507 of the family's 1533-position model. Lineage: Bacteria; Pseudomonadati; Pseudomonadota; Alphaproteobacteria; Rhodospirillales; Azospirillaceae. The record is from RNAcentral.